UUCAAAUCCGAUUCGAAUCCAAUUCGAAGCCGAUUCGAAAUAAUUUUGAAAGACUGUCAAUCUUAAAUUCUUUAGGACUAUUGUAUCAAGUCUAACUUAAAUUUUAGACCUAUUUAAAUAUAAUUAAUUUAGAUCUAAUCUAAAAUUAAUUAAUACUUAAAUUCAAUCUUUUAUAUGUUCCAUAGAUUAUAGAUAAAAAUUGUUCAUCCCCG
RNAcentral lists this long non-coding RNA (212 nucleotides) under Elaeis guineensis (African oil palm). RNAcentral describes it as "long non-coding RNA (EGUI_LNC057286)". Lineage: Eukaryota; Viridiplantae; Streptophyta; Magnoliopsida; Arecales; Arecaceae. The record is from RNAcentral.